Molecule: ribosomal RNA, 1362 nt
Filed under: uncultured bacterium
Lineage: Bacteria
Description: 16S ribosomal RNA
Rfam family: Bacterial small subunit ribosomal RNA
Source: RNAcentral
GAGUAAUAUAUAGGAAUCUACUUAAUAGUAUGGAAUAAUUGUUAGAAAUGACAGCUAAUACCAUAUACUCCUUACGAGGGAAAGAUUUAUCGCUAUUAGAUGAGCCUAUAUUGGAUUAGCUAGUUGGUAAGGUAAUGGCUUACCAAGGCAGUGAUCUAUAGCUGGUUUGAGAGGAUGAUCAGCCACACUGGAAUUGAGAUACGGUCCAGACUCCUACGGGAGGCAGCAGUGGGGAAUAUUGGGCAAUGGGCGAAAGCUUGACCCAGCUAUGCCGCGUGAGUGAUUAAGGUCUUCGGAUUGUAAAGCUCUUUUAGUAGGGAAGAUAAUGACGGUACCUACAGAAAAAGUCCUGGCUAACUCCGUGCCAGCAGCCGCGGUAAUACGGAGAGGGCUAACGUUGUUCGGAAUUACUGGGCGUAAAGGGUACGUAGGCGGUUUAGUAAGUUAGAGGUGAAAUCCUGAGGCUUAACCUCAGAAUUGCUUUUAAAACUGCUAUACUAGAGGUCGAAAGAGGAUAGUGGAAUUCCUAAUAUAGAGGUAAAAUUCAUAGACAUUAGGAGGAACACCAGUGGCGAAGGCGGCUAUCUGGUUCGAUUCUGACGCUGAUGUACGAAAGCGUGGGGAGCAAACAGGAUUAGAUACCCUGGUAGUCCACGCUGUAAAUGGUGAAUGCUAAAUGUAGGAAUUUUUAUUUCUGUGUUGUAGCUAACGCGUUAAGCAUUCCGCCUGGGGACUACGAUCGCAAGAUUAAAACUCAAAGGAAUUGACGGGGAACCCGCACAAGCGGUGGGAGCAUGUGGUUUAAUUCGAUGCUACGCGAAAAACCUUACCACUCCCUGGACAUGGAAGGCUAUCUCCCUUCUUAACAGAAGGAUUCAGGUCCGGCUGGGCCUCACACAGGUGUUGCAUGGCUGUCGUCAGCUCGUGUCGUGAGAUGUUGGGUUCAGUCCCAUAACGAGCGCAACCCUUAUCCUUUAUUACCAGCAGGUCAGGCUGGGUACUUUAAGGAAACUGCCAAUGAUAAAUUGGAGGAAGGAGAGGACGACGUCAAGUCAUCAUGGCCCUUAUGGGGUGGGCUACACACGUGCUACAAUGGCGAUUACAAUGGGCUGCAAAACUGCAAAGUUGAGCUAAUCCUUAAAAAUCGUCUCAGUUCGGAUUGCUCUCUGUAACUCGAGAGCAUGAAGUUGGAAUCGCUAGUAAUCGUGGAUCAGCACGCCACGGUGAAUACGUUCUCGGGUCUUGUACACACUGCCCGUCAAGCCAUGGAAGUUGGUUUUACUCGAAGCUAGUGUGCUAACCUUUUUAGGAAGCAGCUAUCUAAAGUAGGGCUGAUGACUGGGGUUAAGUCGUAACAAGGUA